Molecule: ribosomal RNA, 1550 nt
Filed under: Salmonella enterica
Lineage: Bacteria; Pseudomonadati; Pseudomonadota; Gammaproteobacteria; Enterobacterales; Enterobacteriaceae
Also listed under: 2 other names
Description: partial 23S ribosomal RNA
Rfam family: Bacterial large subunit ribosomal RNA
Source: RNAcentral
GAAUGCUGACAUAAGUAACGAUAAAGCGGGUGAAAAGCCCGCUCGCCGGAAGACCAAGGGUUCCUGUCCAACGUUAAUCGGGGCAGGGUGAGUCGACCCCUAAGGCGAGGCCGAAAGGCGUAGUCGAUGGGAAACGGGUUAAUAUUCCCGUACUUGGUGUUACUGCGAAGGGGGGACGGAGAAGGCUAUGUUGGCCGGGCGACGGUUGUCCCGGUUUAAGCGUGUAGGUGUGUGUUCCAGGUAAAUCCGGUUCACUUUAACACUGAGGCGUGACGACGAGGCACUACGGUGCUGAAGCAACAAAUGCCCUGCUUCCAGGAAAAGCCUCUAAGCAUCAGGUAACAUCAAAUCGUACCCCAAACCGACACAGGUGGUCAGGUAGAGAAUACCAAGGCGCUUGAGAGAACUCGGGUGAAGGAACUAGGCAAAAUGGUGCCGUAACUUCGGGAGAAGGCACGCUGACACGUAGGUGAAGUGAUUUACUCAUGGAGCUGAAGUCAGUCGAAGAUACCAGCUGGCUGCAACUGUUUAUUAAAAACACAGCACUGUGCAAACACGAAAGUGGACGUAUACGGUGUGACGCCUGCCCGGUGCCGGAAGGUUAAUUGAUGGGGUCAGCGCAAGCGAAGCUCCUGAUCGAAGCCCCGGUAAACGGCGGCCGUAACUAUAACGGUCCUAAGGUAGCGAAAUUCCUUGUCGGGUAAGUUCCGACCUGCACGAAUGGCGUAAUGAUGGCCAGGCUGUCUCCACCCGAGACUCAGUGAAAUUGAACUCGCUGUGAAGAUGCAGUGUACCCGCGGCAAGACGGAAAGACCCCGUGAACCUUUACUAUAGCUUGACACUGAACAUUGAGCCUUGAUGUGUAGGAUAGGUGGGAGGCUUUGAAGUGUGGACGCCAGUCUGCAUGGAGCCGACCUUGAAAUACCACCCUUUAAUGUUUGAUGUUCUAACGUGGACCCGUAAUCCGGGUUGCGGACAGUGUCUGGUGGGUAGUUUGACUGGGGCGGUCUCCUCCUAAAGAGUAACGGAGGAGCACGAAGGUUGGCUAAUCCUGGUCGGACAUCAGGAGGUUAGUGCAAUGGCAUAAGCCAGCUUGACUGCGAGCGUGACGGCGCGAGCAGGUGCGAAAGCAGGUCAUAGUGAUCCGGUGGUUCUGAAUGGAAGGGCCAUCGCUCAACGGAUAAAAGGUACUCCGGGGAUAACAGGCUGAUACCGCCCAAGAGUUCAUAUCGACGGCGGUGUUUGGCACCUCGAUGUCGGCUCAUCACAUCCUGGGGCUGAAGUAGGUCCCAAGGGUAUGGCUGUUCGCCAUUUAAAGUGGUACGCGAGCUGGGUUUAGAACGUCGUGAGACAGUUCGGUCCCUAUCUGCCGUGGGCGCUGGAGAACUGAGGGGGGCUGCUCCUAGUACGAGAGGACCGGAGUGGACGCAUCACUGGUGUUCGGGUUGUCAUGCCAAUGGCACUGCCCGGUAGCUAAAUGCGGAAGAGAUAAGUGCUGAAAGCAUCUAAGCACGAAACUUGCCCCGAGAUGAGUUCUCCCUGAGACUUAG